RNAcentral lists this ribosomal RNA (460 nucleotides) under uncultured bacterium. RNAcentral's name for it is "partial 16S ribosomal RNA". It matches the Rfam family "Bacterial small subunit ribosomal RNA", at positions 338 to 795 of the family's 1533-position model. The record is from RNAcentral.
CCUACGGGAGGCAGCAGUGAGGAAUAUUGGUCAAUGGACGAGAGUCUGAACCAGCCAAGUAGCGUGAAGGAUGACUGCCCUAUGGGUUGUAAACUUCUUUUAUAUGGGAAUAAAAUGUUCCACGUGUGGGAUUUUGUAUGUACCAUAUGAAUAAGGAUCGGCUAACUCCGUGCCAGCAGCCGCGGUACUACGGAGGAUCCGAGCGUUAUCCGGAUUUAUUGGGUUUAAAGGGAGCGUAGGUGGAUUGUUAAGUCAGUUGUGAAAGUUUUCGGCUCAACCGUAAAAUUGCAGUUGAAACUGGCAGUCUUGAGUACAGUAGAGGUGGGCGGAAUUCGUGGUGUAGCGGUGAAAUGCUUAGAUAUCACGAAGAACUCCGAUUGCGAAGGCAGUUCACUGGACUGCAACUGACACUGAGGCUCGAAAGUGUGGGUAUCAAACAGGAUUAGAUACCCCAGUAGUC